This 472-nucleotide ribosomal RNA is filed under the name uncultured bacterium. Its description in RNAcentral is "partial 16S ribosomal RNA". It matches the Rfam family "Bacterial small subunit ribosomal RNA", at positions 28 to 507 of the family's 1533-position model. The record is from RNAcentral.
GACGAAUGAUGGCGGCGUGCUUAACACAUGCAAGUCGAACGCUGAAGCUUGGUGCUUGCACUGGGUGGAUGAGUGGCGAACGGGUGAGUAAUACGUGAGUAACCUGCCCUUGACUCUGGGAUAAGCCUGGGAAACUGGGUCUAAUACUGGAUAUGACAUGCCACUGCAUGGUGGUGUGUGGAAAGGGUUUUACUGGUUUUGGAUGGGCUCACGGCCUAUCAGCUUGUUGGUGGGGUAAUGGCCUACCAAGGCGACGACGGGUAGCCGGCCUGAGAGGGUGACCGGCCACACUGGGACUGAGACACGGCCCAGACUCCUACGGGAGGCAGCAGUGGGGAAUAUUGCACAAUGGGCGGAAGCCUGAUGCAGCGACGCCGCGUGAGGGAUGACGGCCUUCGGGUUGUAAACCUCUUUCAGCCCGGAAGAAGCGAGAGUGACGGUACGUGCAGAAGAAGCGCCGGCUAACUACGUG